This 810-nucleotide ribosomal RNA is filed under the name Triticum aestivum (bread wheat). RNAcentral's name for it is "partial small subunit ribosomal RNA". The record is from RNAcentral. Lineage: Eukaryota; Viridiplantae; Streptophyta; Magnoliopsida; Poales; Poaceae.
AUGAGGGGCUUCAACGAAACCUGGUGUGGGUGGGUAAAUCAAAUCCUAUACAAUGGUACUGUUAGUAUCAAGCUUAACAACUCAGUGGGCCCAUAUUUUCAAAGUGCCAAAGGGGUGCGCCAAGGAGACCCCCACUCCCCCUUUUUGUUCAACCUAGCUGUAGAAUGUCUCAACAAGAUGAUUUGUAAAGCGCAGCAGAAUGGCCUCCUAACUGGACUAGCAUCUGAUCUUGUCCCGAAUGGGGUGGCAGUUCUACAAUACGCAGAUGACACGAUCAUUUGCCUCGAGCAUGAUGUGGAAAAAGCUUUAAAUCUGAAGCUCCUCUUAUACAUGUUCGAGCUCAUGUCUGGACUGAAAGUAAACUUUCAGAAGAGCGAGAUCAUGACUGUCGGAGGGGACACUGACAUUGAUAGCAAGUAUGCCAAGAUCUUUAACUGCGAGAUCGGGCACUUUCCAAUUAAAUAUCUUGGUAUGCCUGUGAGUUUCACAACUCUUAAAGAUUCUGUGUGGGAAUUUAUUGUAGAUAAAUACCUUAAGUGUUUCGGGUCUUGGAUUGGUAAUGCUGCAUCCAGCGGGGGCAGACUUACCUUGCUUACCUCGGUAUUGUCGCAGCUAUCUUUAUAUCAUAUGUCCAUGUGGCUUAUGAGUAAAACUUUCAUAGAAAGGCUGGACAAGCACCGUCGUAAUUUUUUUGGCACGGGUGCAAUAAGAAGAAUAGAUAUUACCUGGUCAAAUGGAAGAGGGUGUGUAGAUCGAAGGGCAAAGGGGGUCUGGGUGUCAAAGACCUCAGGAAACAAAACAUCAGCCUGA